RNAcentral lists this non-coding RNA (979 nucleotides) under Crotophaga sulcirostris (groove-billed ani). Its description in RNAcentral is "12S ribosomal RNA". It matches the Rfam family "Bacterial small subunit ribosomal RNA". The record is from RNAcentral. Lineage: Eukaryota; Metazoa; Chordata; Aves; Cuculiformes; Crotophagidae.
AAAAGACUUAGUCCUAACCUUACCGUUAGUUCAUGCUAAAUAUAUACAUGCAAGUAUCCGCGCCCCAGUGUAAAUGCCCUUAUCAUCUUAUCAAGAUGACAGGAGCAGGUAUCAGGCACACCUCAAUCAACCAGUGGUAGCCCAAAACACCUUGCUUAGCCACACCCCCACGGGCAUUCAGCAGUAAUCAAUAUUAAGCAAUAAGUGCAAACUUGACUUAGUUAUAGCAACUCCUAGGGUCGGUAAAUCUUGUGCCAGCCACCGCGGUCACACAAGAGACCCAAAUUAACCACACACGGCGUAAAGAGUGGUACACUACAAUAUCGAACCAUCUAAGAUCAAAGUACAACUAAGCUGUCAUAAGCCCAAGUUGCAUCUAAACCCCACAACGAUCUCAGAUUUUUUCCCCGACAGACUAGAUCCACGAAAGCCAGGACACAAACUGGGAUUAGAUACCCCACUAUGCCUGGCCCUAAAUCUCGAUACUACACCCUACUAAAGUAUCCGCCCGAGAAUUACGAGCACAAACGCUUAAAACUCUAAGGACUUGGCGGUGCCCCAAACCCACCUAGAGGAGCCUGUUCUAUAACCGAUACCCCACGCUACACCCAACCGUCUCUAGCCCCUAAUCAGCCUAUAUACCGCCGUCGCCAGCUCACCUCCCCUGAGAGCAUAACAGUGAGCACAAUAGUCCCACCCUACUAGCAAGACAGGUCAAGGUAUAGCUCAUGAGCCGGAAGUAAUGGGCUACAUUUUCUAACACUAGAAAACACGAAAGGGGACAUGAAACUGUCCCCAGAAGGCGGAUUUAGCAGUAAAGAAAGACAAUAAAGCUCUCUUUAAAUUGGCUCUGGGACACGUACAUACCGCCCGUCACCCUCCUCACAAGCCAAAUCACCAAUAAAUAAUACUCUUAACAAGCUAAAGAUGAGGUAAGUCGUAACAAGGUAAGUGUACCGGAAGGUGUACUUAGCACAUC